Molecule: long non-coding RNA, 246 nt
Organism: Cyprinodon tularosa
Lineage: Eukaryota; Metazoa; Chordata; Actinopteri; Cyprinodontiformes; Cyprinodontidae
Exons: 3
Source: RefSeq, a predicted model, not a curated record
UAGACUUUGAAUGCACCACACCUGCACAGCAGUUAGUCACGGCUCCUCCCUGCUCAGAGCCAGCAUGCUUUUCUUUUAAGGCCUCGGUCUGCAUGGAGAGAGAAACAGGAGAUGUAACCGGUUGAGCAGGAAGAUUUGCUGUAUUAUUGUGUUGAAGAAUAUCCUGACGCUGUUCUUCUGGAGUUUCCGUAGACAAGUGUCUCUGAUGUGCGCACGGCCAUCAGACGAAAAUGUAACAAUGAGCAG